UGGGGAAUUUUGGGCAAUGGGCGAAAGCCUGAUCCAGCAAUGCCGCGUGUGUGAAGAAGGCCUUCGGGUUGUAAAGCACUUUUGUCCGGAAAGAAAUCCUUGGCUCUAAUACAGUCGGGGGAUGACGGUACCGGAAGAAUAAGCACCGGCUAACUACGUGCCAGCAGCCGCGGUAAUACGUAGGGUGCAAGCGUUAAUCGGAAUUACUGGGCGUAAAGCGUGCGCAGGCGGUUUGCUAAGACCGAUGUGAAAUCCCCGGGCUCAACCUGGGAACUGCAUUGGUGACUGGCAGGCUAGAGUAUGGCAGAGGGGGGUAGAAUUCCACGUGUAGCAGUGAAAUGCGUAGAGAUGUGGAGGAAUACCGAUGGCGAAGGCAGCCCCCUGGGCCAAUACUGACGCUCAUGCACGAAAGCGUGGGGGAGCAAACAGGAUUAGAUACCCUGGGUAGUCCACGCCCUAAACGAUGUCAACUAGUUGUUGGGGAUUCAUUUCCUUAGUAACGUAGCUAACGCGUGAAGUUGACCGCCUGGGGAGUACGGUCGCAAGAUUAAAACUUAAAGGAAUUGACGGGGUCAUAGCUGUUUCC
This 586-nucleotide ribosomal RNA is filed under the name uncultured bacterium. RNAcentral describes it as "partial 16S ribosomal RNA". It matches the Rfam family "Bacterial small subunit ribosomal RNA", at positions 355 to 937 of the family's 1533-position model. The record is from RNAcentral.